GCAUUCACAAAUCACGUCACUUACUAAUGUGACUAGAGAAAAUCAAAUUUAUCUUUCAGAAAACUAACCGAAAGCAUGUGUCAAUAAAAAUAGACUUUUGUUAUUGGAUUCUGACCUUUUUGCUGCAUACAAUGAGAUCGAGUUUAAGCUCCGAAAAUGGAGAUCAACAAAAAUGUUUCAACCGCAGGGGCGGAUUUACAUGGUCUUCAGCGGUGUCACGACACCACUUCAACGAAAUUUUUUAUUAUUACAUAUAUAUAUAUAUAAUAAAUAAAACAAAAAUAUAAAAUAAAACUAAUAAAAGUGACAUCACUUACAAUAAAAUAGUUCAAUAGUCUACUGGUUGAUGGCUUACUCGUUGAGGUAAGAGGUUUCGGGUUCAAACUCCCUUAACAACACAAAAUAUUUUUUGACUCUUACGACCUCUUACUAAAAAUAGUGAUACCGCUUAUGAAAAUUACCGACCGGAGCUCAAAGCUCGACCGAAAUCUCGGACCUCAAGCGACUCGAACGACGACCUUUGUUAAAAAAAUAACUCAACUGCGGGGUUGCUUCGGAGCAAUUUUUUUCCGCUUUCUCUGCUCAUUUUUACUAGUUAAAACUUGGAGUUCAUGGGAUGAAAAUGAAGCAUAAAUUGCAGCUCUUUUGGUGAUAAUAGAAGCUGAUUUUCAGACUGCUUUAAUGGAGGUUUUGUUACGUUUUUUGAGUGGUUAUUGGGCUUGAGCAAAAGGGUCUGUUUUCAGGUGAUUUUGGUGAAGGAGUGCAGCUGAUUUGGUGGAGGAAACUGAAGCUUUACAUGGCUAAAGUUUCGGCUGGUUUUUGAAUGUGCUGAAGAUGGAGAAAAGGGGUCUCGGCUGUGCGUUACUGUUCUUAGUGUUGCGGCCGAUGUAUAUUU
RNAcentral lists this long non-coding RNA (895 nucleotides) under Nicotiana benthamiana. Its description in RNAcentral is "long non-coding RNA (NBEN_LNC021272)". The record is from RNAcentral. Lineage: Eukaryota; Viridiplantae; Streptophyta; Magnoliopsida; Solanales; Solanaceae.